This 449-nucleotide long non-coding RNA is filed under the name Gallus gallus (chicken). The record is from RNAcentral. Lineage: Eukaryota; Metazoa; Chordata; Aves; Galliformes; Phasianidae.
GGAAGAAGCAGUGGUGCUGGAGAGCAAGCUUGCUGCCAGGUUUCCUGCAGGGCUCUGUGCUCUGCAGGGACCAACGGGCAGCCGUGGCCCUCUGUUUCAUUGACUUGAUACCUGAUGUUCUUUAUACACGUGUAACAGCUCGGGGUCAUUCCAGCUGGUGGAGAAAUAGGCUGAGGAGAACAGCCAAAAUCAACAGAGGAGCGUGACUGAACAACACGGGCCAUCCCUGAUGUCCUCAGUCUUCUGACAGAACAACAGCCGGAGGAGCAAACAGGAGCAGCCACCAGCAGGAGCUCACUGGUGGCACCUGCAGCCCACGGACACCACGGCAGUCACCUCUGCAACGCCCCCACUUACUGCCACGGACACGAAGGGCUGCAGCAGCACACAAGGUAUGCUCUGCGUGCAAACUGUGCUGCGUGGGGGGCAGGCAGGGGAGGGGACUGCUC